This 1271-nucleotide ribosomal RNA is filed under the name metagenome. RNAcentral's name for it is "SSU rRNA". It matches the Rfam family "Eukaryotic small subunit ribosomal RNA", at positions 482 to 1777 of the family's 1831-position model. The record is from RNAcentral.
AAUGCGGGACUCUAAGAGGCCCCGUAAUUGGAAUGAGUACACCUUAAAUCGUUUAACGAGUAUCAAUUGGAGGGCAAGUCUGGUGCCUGCAGCCUCGGUAAUUCCAGCUCCAAUAGCGUAUAUUAAAGUUGCUGCAGUUAAAAAGCUCGUAGUUGGAUCUGGGGCUUGAGGUCGCUGUCUAUCGUUUCGGCGAUGACGGUGAUGCUCAGCUCUGCUUGCCGGUGACUGUUGCGGUGUUCUUCACUGAGCGCUGUAGCAGCACGGCACGUUUACUCUGAAAAAAUUAGAGUGCUCAAAGCGUGCUUGUCGCUUGAAUAAUGUUGCAUGGAAUAAUGGAAUAGGACCUCGGUUCUAUUUUGUUGGUUUUCGGAGCUUGAGGUAAUGAUUAAGAGGGACGAACGGGGGCAUUCGUAUUGCGGUGUUAGAGGUGAAACUCUUGGAUCGCCGCAAGACGGACUACUGCGAAAGCAUUUGCCAAGAACGCUUUCAUUAAUUAAGGACGAAAGUCAGAGGUUCGAAGGCGAUCAGACACCGUCCUAGUUCUGACCAUAAACGAUGCCGACCAGCGAUCCGUAGUGGUUGCUUUAUGGACCCUACGGGCAGCCUCCGGGAAACCAAAGUAUUUGGGUUCCGGGGGAAGUAUGGUUGCAAAGCUGAAACUUAAAGGAAUUGACGGAAGGGCACACCAGGAGUGGAGCCUGCGGCUUAAUUUGACACAACACGGGAAGACUCACCCGGUCCGGACACCGUAAGGAUUGACAGACUGAUAGCCCUUUCUUGAUUCGGUGGAUGGUGGUGCAUGGCCGUUCUUAGUUGGUGGAGUGAUUUGUCUGGUUAAUUCCGAUAACGAACGAGACUCUAGCCUGCUAAGUAGUGUUGCUAUUGUUAUAUGGUUGACACUUCUUAGAGGGACAAGUGGCAUUUAGCCACGCGAAAUUGAGCAAUAACAGGUCUGUGAUGCCCUUAUAUGUCCGGGGCCGCACGCGCGCUACACUGGAGAAGUCAGCGUGUGUUAUCAAGUCCGAAAGGACUGGGUAAUCCGUUGAACCUUCUUCGUGCUUGGGACUGUGGCUUGGAACUAUUCCACAUGAACGAGGAAUUCCUAGUAAUUGCAAGUCAUAAGCUUGCGUUGAUUACGUCCCUGCCCUUUGUACACACCGCCCGUCGCUACUACCGAUUGAAUGGUUUAGCAAGGUCCUCGGAUCGUGGCCGUAGGGGCACGCAAGUGUUUCUGCGGUUUGCGAGAAGACGACCAAACUUGAUCAUUUAGA